RNAcentral lists this transfer RNA (74 nucleotides) under Salmo salar (Atlantic salmon). It matches the Rfam family "tRNA", at positions 8 to 63 of the family's 71-position model. Rfam says of the family: Transfer RNA (tRNA) molecules are approximately 80 nucleotides in length. Their secondary structure includes four short double-helical elements and three loops (D, anti-codon, and T loops). The record is from Rfam by way of RNAcentral. Lineage: Eukaryota; Metazoa; Chordata; Actinopteri; Salmoniformes; Salmonidae.
UAGCUCAGUUGGUAGAGCACGGUGUUUGCAACGCAGGGUGUUUGCAACGCCAGGGUUGUGGGUUCGAUUCCCAC